This 303-nucleotide unclassified non-coding RNA is filed under the name uncultured Leptosphaeriaceae. RNAcentral's name for it is "sequence contains ITS1". The stretch from base 1 to 105 matches the Rfam family "5.8S ribosomal RNA", at positions 50 to 154 of the family's 154-position model. Lineage: Eukaryota; Fungi; Ascomycota; Dothideomycetes; Pleosporales; Leptosphaeriaceae. The record is from RNAcentral.
GAAAUGCGAUACUUGGUGUGAAUUGCAGAAUUCAGUGAAUCAUCGAAUCUUUGAACGCACAUUGCGCCCCUUGGUAUUCCAUGGGGCAUGCCUGUUCGAGCGUCAUCUACACCCUCAAGCUCUGCUUGGUGAUGGGCGUCUGUCCCCGCCUCCGCGCGCGGACUCGCCCCAAAGUCAUUGGCAGCGGUCCUGUCCGCCUCUCGCGCAACACAAGUGUGCUUCUUGAGGCGUCGGGGUCCGCGUCCAUCAAGCCCUUUUACCCAUUUUGACCUCGGAUCAGGUAGGGAUACCCGCUGAACUUAA